RNAcentral lists this ribosomal RNA (496 nucleotides) under uncultured bacterium. RNAcentral's name for it is "partial 16S ribosomal RNA". It matches the Rfam family "Bacterial small subunit ribosomal RNA", at positions 29 to 507 of the family's 1533-position model. The record is from RNAcentral.
AUGAACGCUGGCGGCGUGCCUAAUCCCUGCCAGUCGAGCGAACAGAUGAGGAGCUUGCUCCUCUGACGUUAGCGGCGGACGGGUGAGUAACACGUGGAUAACCUACCUAUAAGACUGGGAUAACUUCGGGAAACCGGAGCUAAUACCGGAUAAUAUAUUGAACCGCAUGGUUCAAUAGUGAAAGACGGUUUUGCUGUCACUUAUAGAUGGAUCCGCGCCGCAUUAGCUAGUUGGUAAGGUAACGGCUUACCAAGGCAACGAUGCGUAGCCGACCUGAGAGGGUGAUCGGCCACACUGGAACUGAGACACGGUCCAGACUCCUACGGGAGGCAGCAGUAGGGAAUCUUCCGCAAAGGGCGAAAGCCUGACGGAGCAACGCCGCGUGAGUGAUGAAGGUCUUCGGAUCGUAAAACUCUGUUAUUAGGGAAGAACAAAUGUGUAAGUAACUAUGCACGUCUUGACGGUACCUAAUCAGAAAGCCACGGCUAACUACGUG